Molecule: ribosomal RNA, 450 nt
Filed under: uncultured bacterium
Lineage: Bacteria
Description: bacterial SSU rRNA
Rfam family: Bacterial small subunit ribosomal RNA
Source: RNAcentral
AGCGAACGUUAGCGGCGGGCCUAACACAUGCAAGUCGAACGAGAAUGAGGGGGCAACUCCUCUAGUAAAGUGGCGGACGGGUGCGUAACACGUAGGUAAUUUACCUUCCGGCGGGGGACGAACAGCCCGAAAGGGACUGCUAAUACCGCAUACGUCGGCGAGGUCUCCGGACCUUGCCGGGAAGAUGGCCUCUCCUUGGAAGCUGUCACCGGAAGAUGAACCUGCGGCCCAUCAGCUAGUUGGUGAGGUAAUGGCUCACCAAGGCUAAGACGGGUAGCUGGUCUGAGAGGAUGAUCAGCCACACUGGGACUGCGACACGGCCCAGACUCCUACGGGAGGCAGCAGUGGGAAUAUUGGGCAAUGGGCGAAAGCCUGACCCAGCCACGCCGCGUGAGUGAUGAAGGCCUUGGGUCGUAAGCUCUGUGGGGAGGGACGAAUAAGCUGGCAGUU